This 899-nucleotide long non-coding RNA is filed under the name Volvox carteri. RNAcentral describes it as "long non-coding RNA (VCAR_LNC001054)". The record is from RNAcentral. Lineage: Eukaryota; Viridiplantae; Chlorophyta; Chlorophyceae; Chlamydomonadales; Volvocaceae.
AAUGGCGUAUGGGCAAAAAGCUAUCGAUGGCCUUGGAAUGAAGGGUUCGCUUUGCCAGGCCGCCAGGUCCCAUGAAGAUUUACCUGAUACCGAAUAUUCGUAAAAAAAAUCAUCCACGGAAGUUAUCAACUAGUUGGGAUUUUUAUUGGGCUGGCGAUGUAACCUGGCGUAACCGCGCCCGCCAAAAGCAGUGGUCUCCCAUAGCUUUCACGCAGUGACAAUUAAUCGAUUUAUAAUACUCAAGUAAGUUUCAACUUCUUUUGUCGAUUUUCCACCGGUCCAUCCCCACCGGGCGCUCUGCUCUUGCUCUGUUCGGGUUCCUCACUGACCGCUCGCCUGGUGGCAGCCGGCCGGGCCAUAACCGAAAUUGCAUUCGUUUGAUUUACCUACAAGACCGAAUGGACACAUCCUUUUGAGAUAUUUGAUAUGAUGGAUCUUGUACGCGCUAUUGUGUAUCUCUAGCCUGCUUUGGCGCAGAGUCCAAUAAGACCAAUAAGAGUCCAAUAAUGUUGCAAGAGCUCGUUGUUGGGGCCAAAGCUCCCCAGGUGAUUCUCAGGUGACAUGGCCUUCAGCUACCGGAUCCGUCGGCCUAACAUCCGCCACGCGCCGCAUUCUCAUCUGCUUCCUGAACUGGAUUGCAUUGCAAAGGUCGGCCCGACACACCAGCUCCUGGUAAACUAACAAGCUCAAAAGGGCCUAACCAGAGCGCCACACAUGCGGAAAAAGUCGCGCGUGUGUGUGUGAAUGUGAAGGGUUACAAGUAUCUGACCCAGAGCCUGACAUUGGCCUAAGCUCUCUCCCACGGACGGGCCCGGGAGAGGGCGCGCAUCAGGCCCACAGGCAUCCAGUCAGACCCAUGGGAGCCUAGUUAGGCUAAUUAACUCCAAAACGGAUGAAAC